UACGGAGGAUGCGAGCGUUAUCCGGAUUUAUUGGGUUUAAAGGGUGCGUAGGCGGCCGAGUAAGUCAGCGGUGAAAUUUUGCAGCUUAACUGUAACAGUGCCGUUGAUACUGCAUGGCUAGGAUUUGGUUGCUGUGGGUGGAAUGUGUGGUGUAGCGGUGAAAUGCUUAGAGAUCACACAGAAUAUCGAUUGCGAAGGCAGCUCACAAAGCCAAGAUUGACGCUGAGGCACGAAAGUGUGGGGAUCAAACA
RNAcentral lists this ribosomal RNA (251 nucleotides) under uncultured prokaryote. RNAcentral describes it as "partial 16S ribosomal RNA". It matches the Rfam family "Bacterial small subunit ribosomal RNA", at positions 524 to 774 of the family's 1533-position model. The record is from RNAcentral.